UGCUCGGAGCGGAGAAGUGUUGUUGUCGUCGUCAGAUUUAUUUGACGAUUCUUCCAUUAGUUCGGUCCAGAGCUGCCGUUACCCCUUCGAGGAGGCGCGCGCAAAAAGACCAGACUACCCCCGCGUCGAUCCGGCUCCAGCCCUUGGCGAGCGCGCGGCUCGGCUCUGGCCCUGGCGCGGGCGCAGCGGGCCACCGCCGGCGCUCCACCGCGGGCCUGCCUGCGACCCCCGCACCGCGUUCGCUCCCCUCACACGGGCCUCCCACCACUCCUGCGAUGGGGAUCCAGCUUUUUGACGGCGGCGGGGCUCGGCAUCGGCGCGCAGCGCAGCGCAGCAGGAGGCCCGGAGCGAGCGGCGCGCGGGACGCUAUCGCCUAUGCAGGUGCUGGGGCGCCUGUGAAAUCUGGCCAGUCGAGCUCUGCGCGGGACAAGCACAGCACUUGGAGCAUCACACGGAGUCUGAUCCUUUUGCUAAAUGCAAAGUGGAUCCAGGAAGCUCCGCCCCGAGGCACGCAACGGUGGCGCGGCCACGAGCCGCCGCGGGCGAGCUCCGUCCCGAGGCGCACAACGCGGGCGCCACCGAGAAGG
Long non-coding RNA from Panicum hallii, 587 nucleotides. RefSeq lists it as uncharacterized. The transcript has 3 exons. NCBI's taxonomy places the organism in Eukaryota, Viridiplantae, Streptophyta, Magnoliopsida, Poales, Poaceae. The record is from RefSeq and is a predicted model, not a curated record.